UUUCCGUAGGUGAACCUGCGGAAGGAUCAUUCAUAAUAAAGUGUUUUAUGGCACUUUUUAAAAUCCAUAUCCACCUUGUGUGCAAUGUUAGAUCUCGUCAAUCUUGGCGAGAUUUUUAUACAUCAACUCAUUUUUUAACUAAUUUGUCUGAAAAAUAUUAUGAAUACUUAAUUCAAAAUACAACUUUCAACAACGGAUCUCUUGGCUCUC
RNAcentral lists this unclassified non-coding RNA (210 nucleotides) under plant metagenome. Its description in RNAcentral is "partial contains small subunit ribosomal RNA, internal transcribed spacer 1, and 5.8S ribosomal RNA". The record is from RNAcentral.